GUCAGAGGGAGGCUGGCAAGUGUGUGGCAAAGAGGGCUCAGGACUCAGGAAAGCAGCUGUUGCGCCGAAGAACCGACUGCGCGACACCCAGGGCCCGGGCCUGCGCGGCUGCAGGGAGACGCGGACACUCACGGGCACAAGGUCCUUGAUGACGUACAUGUGCGGCAGCGGGUAGAUCUUGGAGACUUUGUCGAGGUUGGUGUCAAUCCUGCGGGUGCAGGCCAGAGUGUUGCCUCCAUUGAUGUUCAUUGCACACGAACCACAGAUGCCUGCGGGAGAGACCCGGCCAGGCACGGUCAGCGGUGCCCAGCGUCCACCCCAAAGCCUCUCUCCUGGCCAGGGGCUGCUCUGUCACCAGGAGCAGCACUGACAUGUAAUACACUUUCUGCUGUUUCUCCCUCUCCUAUUCCUGGCCUAGAACGCUGAUGAAUGGCGGGAGCUCUACAGAGCACUCUGUGAUCGUGAGGCGGCCGCGGGGUGACAGGCCGCACACGCUGAGGGUGGCUGUGCAGGGAGAAGCAGCUGGGGCACUGCUGGCCCCGGGACUUCCCACACCACUGCUAGCUCCAAGCUAGAGUCAUAUGUUUUCAGAGGGGAAGUGGCCUUGCUUUGUUAGAGGCACUGUUAUUGGAACUCAGAUUCUAACAGAUAGGGAGAAGGGAGGGAGGGCUGUCCGGAAAGGGGAGAUGGACGCGAUCAAAACGUGACAUAGGUAUGAAAUGCUGGAGUGACAGCCAGCACUUUAGGAAAUCGGUGUAUCCUGAUAAAAAUACUGACAGUAGGCUCCCACGUAUCCCCUACCAAAAAAAAAAAAAAAAAAAGACAGAAAGAAAGAAAAGAAAAAGAGAAAAACAAGGCCCAUCUAGCACCUAA
Molecule: long non-coding RNA, 873 nt
Organism: Cavia porcellus (domestic guinea pig)
Lineage: Eukaryota; Metazoa; Chordata; Mammalia; Rodentia; Caviidae
Exons: 2
Source: RefSeq, a predicted model, not a curated record